GUCUCGUCACGUGACUCGCGAGAUUUUACGAUAAUUUUCACUUCCGGGCAGCUCAGACAUUAGAGUUGUGUAUUGAUUUAAGCAUGUUUCUGGUUUAUACAAAGCUUUCGAGAAAAAGUUAAGUAGUUUUACAAAGCAGAAGGGUUCUCCGACUUACGAUGGAUGAAUUGCGUGCCUUAAAAGCUUGGGUGCGAGUGUUAACGAGGAAAAUUUCGAUCAAAGUACAGAUUUUUCUUAAAUCAGAGGACGAUAAUGUUAUUAUCAGCUGAUUACAGAGGAAGAGUUUUGUCAGUGUCCGAUGGGUACAAACGUCAUAUUGUGGCUGCAUCACUUUUGUUUGGCAGAAGUACAACUGAGAACGUGGUUGAGGAACACAGCUGAAAGAUGCAGUUGCUUUAAGCAGUACCUAAGAUUUUGAUCAACAUUCUUCAAAAUGCAAAUCAAAUACAGGUUAUUGUCUGCACAUCUUGCAAUGGAUGUUUUGAUUGAGAACUUAUCGAGCAUAAAGACCAGCCAUGUACCUAUCCUGUCAUGACAUUAUUAAAGUACUCUGUGACAGUGGGAAGAUGUAAUUUAAAACAUGACAUGGCUCUAUGUUACUGCAUCAUAUAUCGAGCCAAGUUUACUUAUAAACUGAAGGAAAACAGUCAAGCAUCAUUUGGAAUUGGAGCUACGUAUAUCACCGCCUUCACAAUAUGCCAGCUUACAUAACCAAGAAAGCACAGUUACCAGUUGUACCUAUGAUGUCGGACGAGAUCCUGAGAAUUCUUUCAGUGCACUCAUCACUACCUGCAAAGAAAAGAAAAUUUGAAAUGACUUGUAUCAACCCUUUUGUAUUUCAUCUGGCUUGUACUUUUAGUACUCAUUAUCCUUUAGACCAUUCCAAGUUUUUCCUAUGUUUUUUUAGCGUCCGCAUGCGCCUUGGUUUUUGACACCCCAUAUAAGAAAAAACACACAACAGCAGGAGUCCUGAAAUCGAUUAAGAAAGAGGGCGUAUAAGGCGUGUACAAUCCCCCGCUCUGAGACAAAACGUUUCUCAAUUUUCAAAAUUCACAGAAAUGUCACAUUUUUCUAAAAUCAUGUUCUCGGUAAUGUCAUCUUCAAAACAUUCUAUUAUUUUAUUUUACUGAACGACAUAUCAUUUGAUAAUCUUUAUUUCAAAAUUGACAGUUUAGCAUAUUUAGUGGAAAAUGGGUUUAAUAGAGCUAUAAAAAACGAAUUUUGAACAUGAAUGGGUCAAGUCUCCAUUCUUCGUAAACGCUUAAAUGAUGAAAAUGUAAAUGCGAAAUCUAUUUCAUUUGUCCAAAAAAUGGAAUCUGAACCCAUUCUAUAUGAAAAUCGAACUUUUCUGAAAAAAUUUACGCUUCAACAAACCCGUUCAUUUAAAUCACAAUGAAAGACAUCAACAAUGUAUAUACUUCGUAGCGUAGUGGUUAAACUGGUUGGUCUUGGACCCAAUCUGCACUAGGGAGAGAGUUCGAAUCAUA
Saccostrea cuccullata (small rock oyster) is the source of this 1487-nucleotide long non-coding RNA. RefSeq lists it as uncharacterized. The transcript has 5 exons. NCBI's taxonomy places the organism in Eukaryota, Metazoa, Mollusca, Bivalvia, Ostreida, Ostreidae. The record is from RefSeq and is a predicted model, not a curated record.